This 943-nucleotide non-coding RNA is filed under the name Oryzias marmoratus (marmorated medaka). RNAcentral's name for it is "12S rRNA". It matches the Rfam family "Bacterial small subunit ribosomal RNA". Lineage: Eukaryota; Metazoa; Chordata; Actinopteri; Beloniformes; Adrianichthyidae. The record is from RNAcentral.
UAAAAGUUUGGUCCUGACUUUACUAUCAACUCUAGCUAAACUUACACAUGCAAGUAUCCGCAACCCCGUGAGAAUGCCCUACAGUUUCCUUUAGGAAACAAGGAGCUGGUAUCAGGCUCAACUAGUUAGCCCAUAACACCUUGCUAAGCCACACCCCCAAGGGAACUCAGCAGUGAUAAACAUUAAGCAAUAAGUGAAAACUUGACUUAAUAAAAGCUAAGAGGGCCGGUUAAACUCGUGCCAGCCACCGCGGUUAUACGAGGGGCUCAAGCUGAUAGCCAUCGGCGUAAAGAGUGGUUAGUUUAUAAACAAACUAAAGCCAAAUACUUCCAAAGCUGUUAUACGCACUCGGGAGUAAGAAGAUCAUGAACGAAAGUGACUUUAAAUUAAUGAAUCCACGAAAGCUACGGAACAAACUGGGAUUAGAUACCCCACUAUGCAUAGCCACAAACUUUGAUGAAUAUUUACACCAUCAUCCGCCCGGGAACUACGAGNCAUUAGCUUAAAACCCAAAGGACUUGGCGGUGCUUUAGACCCNACCUAGAGGAGCCUGUUCUAGAACCGAUACCCCCCGUUAAANCCUCACCCUCUCUUGUUCUUCCCGCCUAUAUACCGCCGUCGUCAGCUUACCCUGUGAAGGCCUAAUAGUAAGCAAAAUCAGUAGCACUUAAAACGUCAGGUCGAGGUGUAGCAUAUGAGAGGGGAAGAAAUGGGCUACAUUCNCUUUUUUAAGGUAAACGAAAAAUAUUAUGAAAAGAAUAUUAGAAGGAGGAUUUAGCAGUAAGCAAAAAAUAGAGAGUUUUGCUGAAACUGGCCCUGAAGCGCGCACACACCGCCCGUCACUCUCCCCGACUCAAUUCUAAAAAUAAAUAAUAAGUUAGUGAACUCAAGGGGAGGCAAGUCGUAACAUGGUAAGUGUACCGGAAGGUGCACUUGGUAAAAU